CUCUCUGAACUGCAGAACAUGGACAUUAUCAAACAUGGCCUCCUCAUACUUUUGCUCUGGAUUAAAGGUCUUAUUGCUGAUGAUGAUGUCAUCCAGGUUCCCAUACUGUGGGAAAAAAAGGGCGACAAUGCAACAAUAAACUGCAGCCACACCAAGGAUGCUGGCUACAACCAGAUGUACUGGUACAGACAGCUGCCGGGAGAAGCAGUGAAACAAAUAGUGUUCACUACAGCAAACACCAAACCUGACUUUGAAGCAGACUUCAAAGAUGAGAGAUUUGGAGCCACCAAGCCUGACGCUCACAGUGGGACAUUCACAGUGAAGAAUCUGGUGCCAGAAGAUAAAGGCUUGUAUUUCUGUGCUGUGAGUGAGCACAGUGAUACAGACACAUGUGAAAGCUGA
This is a non-coding RNA of Siniperca chuatsi (mandarin fish), 402 nucleotides long. The record is from the annotation of a RefSeq genome assembly. Lineage: Eukaryota; Metazoa; Chordata; Actinopteri; Centrarchiformes; Sinipercidae.